RNAcentral lists this ribosomal RNA (972 nucleotides) under Russula sp. RNAcentral's name for it is "partial 28S large subunit ribosomal RNA". It matches the Rfam family "Eukaryotic large subunit ribosomal RNA", at positions 29 to 975 of the family's 3401-position model. The record is from RNAcentral. Lineage: Eukaryota; Fungi; Basidiomycota; Agaricomycetes; Russulales; Russulaceae.
UGUGAACUAAGCAUAUCAAUAAGCGGAGGAAAAGAAACUAACAAGGAUUCCCCUAGUAACUGCGAGUGAAGCGGGAAAAGCUCAAAUUUAAAAUCUGGUGGUCUUUGGCCAUCCGAGUUGUAAUUUAGAGAAGCGUCUUCCGCGCUGGACCAUGCACAAGUCUCCUGGAAUGGAGCGUCAUAGAGGGUGAGAAUCCCGUCUUUGGCAUGGACCCCCAGGGCUUCUGUGAUGCGCUCUCAAAGAGUCGAGUUGUUUGGGAAUGCAGCUCAAAAUGGGUGGUGAACUCCAUCUAAAGCUAAAUAUUGGCGAGAGACCGAUAGCGAACAAGUACCGUGAGGGAAAGAUGAAAAGCACUUUGGAAAGAGAGUGAAACAGUACGUGAAAUUGUUGAAAGGGAAACGCUUGAAGUCAGUCGCGUCGGCUGAGACUCAACCUUGCCUCGGCUUGGUGUACUUCUCAGCUGACGGGUCAGCAUCAAUUUUGAUCCUUGGAUAAUGGCAAGGGAAAGGUAGCACCUUUACAGGUGUGUUAUAGUCCUCUGUCGAAUGCAAGGGUUGGGAUUGAGGAACUCAGCACGCGCCUUGUCGGUGUCGGGGCCUUUUGGCCUACGUACGUGCUUAGGAUGCUGGCAUAAUGGCUUUAAACGACCCGUCUUGAAACACGGACCAAGGAGUCUAACAUGCACGCGAGUGUUCGGGUGGAAAACCCGUGCGCGUAAUGAAAGUAAAAGUUGGGACCUCUGUCGUGGAGGGCACCGACGCCCGGACCAGACCUUCUGUGACGGCUCUGCGGUAGAGCGUGUAUGUUGGGACCCGAAAGAUGGUGAACUAUGCCUGAAUAGGGUGAAGCCAGAGGAAACUCUGGUGGAGGCUCGUAGCGAUUCUGACGUGCAAAUCGAUCGUCAAAUUUGGGUAUAGGGGCGAAAGACUAAUCGAACCAUCUAGUAGCUGGUUCCUGCCGAAUUUCCCCCUC